This is a long non-coding RNA of Alosa alosa (allis shad), 1087 nucleotides long. RefSeq lists it as uncharacterized. The record is from RefSeq and is a predicted model, not a curated record. The transcript has 4 exons. Lineage: Eukaryota; Metazoa; Chordata; Actinopteri; Clupeiformes; Clupeidae.
CAGCCCUUUAGAGACACUCUGAUGAGCUACAGCUACAGGUUUCAAACAGAUCACUGAGUCUGUAGCAGAAUUUCCUCCCUCCUGUAUUGUACCAGUACCAGUAUUGGAGACACAAAGAGAGCAAAAUAGGUAUCUGGGGAUCACAACAACAUUGAAAAGGUUAAGCGAACAGGUGCAAAGCUGAAAUCAAUGGCGUAUCAAAUGAGACUCCCCACACUGUUGCUUACCUUUAUUCUCUGCUGUGGAGUUAUUGAUCCUGGAGACGGCGUGUAUUCCCUGCCACACCGCAUCAAACGUUAUGCACCUGAAGUGAUUCCUGACCUGUCUACCAAUGAUAUGACAUUCAUAGCAGUAAGAGAUCCCAGGCGCAUAACAGAACCCCAUAACCAGAACCAGAGAACUCAAGCAGGGGAUUUAAUUAACAAUUGGCAAGAUACACACCUGGGCGAGGGACCAAGUAACAACUUAGUACACUUACCAAAUGUGCAACAUAAUCGUCAACUCCUUCGAAUUGAUCGUCAGGGAUCGUUUGACCAAGGACGUUAUUGCAACUUCCAAAUGCAGAUUAAUGGGCCACGUCCUCGUGGAGCGAGCACCACAGUGUCAGCGAUCAUAGUCCCUAAUAGUGACAGAGUCACAGCAGAACAUAUGCGUGCGGCCUUCCAAUAUAGUUUAAGACACCAGGCCAAGGUUUGUUUGGAACUUGGCACAACCGACAGCUCACCCAACUGCCAAGCGAAUGAUGGAGGUGAAGCUAAAAACAAAGGUAACAAAACUAAAGGCCCAGGGAAAAAUGGGGGUGGAGACAAAGCUAAAGGUAAUAAAAAAUUAACUCUCAAAAUGGAUAUAGAAAGAGAGGACAGGUUGCGUAGUUAGCAGAUUCUUUCUACCAAAGUGACUUAGAGCAUUUGAAAAUCAAACCUGGGUCGACAUCCAUAGUAUCGCAGUGAUCAUUACAACAUAUGCAUGCAUUAUCAAAAGUCAGUGUUGGGCAGAAUGAGUGCAAUAAGUCAGCAUAGAUCUAUCUAUUAGUAAACUCCAUUUGCUUAACAUUUCUUUAUCAGAUCAACUAAUCACUCAAUAGGGU